ACGAUUAAGUGUCGUAAGGGCAUUUGGUGGAUGCCUUGGCAUGCACAGGCGAAGAAGGACGUGAUACGCUGCGAAAAGCCGUGGGGAGCUGCGAAUAAGCUUUGAUCCAUGGAUCUCCGAAUGGGGCAACCCACCUUAAAUGCUUGGAAAAUUUAAGUCGUGCUUUUGUACGGCUUAGGUUUCCAAGCAUUGUUAUAAGGUAUCUAACCUUCGAAUACAUAGGGGUUAGAAGCGAACUCAGGGAACUGAAACAUCUAAGUACCUGAAGGAAAGGACAUCAACCGAGACUCCGCAAGUAGUGGCGAGCGAACGCGGACCAGGCCAGUGGCAAUGUUGAAUAAAGCUGAACAGGUUGGAAAGCCUGACUAUAGUGGGUGAUAGUCCCGUAAGCGUAGAACAGACAUUGUCCUUGAGUAGGGCGGGACACGUGAAAUCCUGUCUGAACAUGGGGAGACCACUCUCCAAGCCUAAGUACUCGUGCAUGACCGAUAGCGAACAAGUACCGUGAGGGAAAGGUGAAAAGCACCCCGACAAGGGGAGUGAAAUAGAACCUGAAACCGGAUGCCUACAAGCAGUCGGAGGGCGCAAGCCUGACGGCGUACCUUUUGUAUAAUGGGUCAACGACUUAGUGUAUCUAGCAAGCUUAAGCCGGUAGGUGUAGGCGCAGCGAAAGCGAGUCUGAAUAGGGCGAUUUAGUUAGAUGCAUUAGACCCGAAACCGAGUGAUCUAGCCAUGAGCAGGUUGAAGGUUGGGUAACACCAACUGGAGGACCGAACCCGCAUCUGUUGCAAUAGAUUGGGAUGACUUGUGGCUAGGGGUGAAAGGCCAAUCAAACUCGGAGAUAGCUGGUUCUCCGCGAAAUCUAUUUAGGUAGAGCGUCGACCGAAUACCCCAGGGGGUAGAGCACUGGAUGGGCUAUGGGGACUCACCGUCUUACUGAUCCUAACCAAACUCCGAAUACCUGGGAGUACUAGUCGGCAGACACACGGCGGGUGCUAACGUCCGUCGUGAAGAGGGCAACAACCCUGACCUCCAGCUAAGGUCCCCAAGUCAUGGCUAAGUGGGAAAGGAUGUGAGGAUCCCAAAACAACCAGGAUGUUGGCUUAGAAGCAGCCAUCAUUUAAAGAAAGCGUAACAGCUCACUGGUCUAAAUAAGGGUCUUUGCGCCGAAAAUGUAACGGGGCUAAAGCCAUGCACCGAAGCUGAGGAU
RNAcentral lists this ribosomal RNA (1210 nucleotides) under Rhizobium sp. NFR07. RNAcentral's name for it is "bacterial LSU rRNA". It matches the Rfam family "Bacterial large subunit ribosomal RNA", at positions 1 to 1207 of the family's 2925-position model. The record is from RNAcentral. Lineage: Bacteria; Pseudomonadati; Pseudomonadota; Alphaproteobacteria; Hyphomicrobiales; Rhizobiaceae.